This 400-nucleotide ribosomal RNA is filed under the name uncultured Dothideomycetes. Its description in RNAcentral is "partial small subunit ribosomal RNA". It matches the Rfam family "Eukaryotic small subunit ribosomal RNA", at positions 30 to 432 of the family's 1831-position model. The record is from RNAcentral. Lineage: Eukaryota; Fungi; Ascomycota; Dothideomycetes.
GCUUGUCUCAAAGAUUAAGCCAUGCAUGUCUAAGUGUAAAUACGUCUACACUGUGAAACUGCGAAUGGCUCAUUAAAUCAGUUAUCGUUUAUUUGAUGAUCUCUUGUUACAUGGAUAACCGUAGUAAUUCUAGAGCUAAUACAUGCGUCAAGCCCCGACUUCGGAAGGGGUGUAUUUAUUAGAUAAAAAACCAAUGCCCUUCGGGGCUCCUUGGUGAAUCAUAAUAACUUAACGAAUCGCAUGGCCUUGCGCCGGCGAUGGUUCAUUCAAAUUUCUGCCCUAUCAACUUUCGAUGGUAGGAUAGUGGCCUACCAUGGUAUCAACGGGUAACGGGGAAUUAGGGUUCGACUCCGGAGAGGGAGCCUGAGAAACGGCUACCACAUCCAAGGAAGGCAGCAGG